GAUGAACGCUGGCGGCGUGCCUAAUACAUGCAAGUCGAGCGAACGGACGAGAAGCUUGCUUCUCUGAUGUUAGCGGCGGACGGGUGAGUAACACGUGGAUAACCUACCUAUAAGACUGGGAUAACUUCGGGAAACCGGAGCUAAUACCGGAUAAUAUUUUGAACCGCAUGGUUCAAAAGUGAAAGACGGUCUUGCUGUCACUUAUAGAUGGAUCCGCGCUGCAUUAGCUAGUUGGUAAGGUAACGGCUUACCAAGGCAACGAUGCAUAGCCGACCUGAGAGGGUGAUCGGCCACACUGGAACUGAGACACGGUCCAGACUCCUACGGGAGGCAGCAGUAGGGAAUCUUCCGAAAUGGGCGAAAGCCUGACGGAGCAACGCCGCGUGAGUGAUGAAGGUCUUCGGAUCGUAAAACUCUGUUAUUAGGGAAGAACAUAUGUGUAAGUAACUGUGCACAUCUUGACGGUACCUAAUCAGAAAGCCACGGCUACCUACG
RNAcentral lists this ribosomal RNA (495 nucleotides) under uncultured bacterium. Its description in RNAcentral is "partial 16S ribosomal RNA". It matches the Rfam family "Bacterial small subunit ribosomal RNA", at positions 28 to 505 of the family's 1533-position model. The record is from RNAcentral.